Molecule: ribosomal RNA, 497 nt
Filed under: uncultured bacterium
Lineage: Bacteria
Description: partial 16S ribosomal RNA
Rfam family: Bacterial small subunit ribosomal RNA
Source: RNAcentral
GAUGAACGCUGGCGGCGUGCCUAAUACAUGCAAGUCGAGCGAACGGACGAGAAGCUUGCUUCUCUGAUGUUAGCGGCGGACGGGUGAGUAACACGUGGAUAACCUACCUAUAAGACUGGGAUAACGUCGGGAAACCGGAGCUAAUACCGGAUGAUAUUUUGAACCGCAUGGGUCAAAAGUGAAAGACGGUCUUGCUGUCACUUAUAGAUGGAUCCGCGCUGCAUUAGCUAGUUGGUAAGGUAACGGCUUACCAAGGCGACGAUGCAUAGCCGACCUGAGAGGGUGAUCGGCCACACUGGAACUGAGACACGGUCCAGACUCCUACGGGAGGCAGCAGUAGGGAAUCUUCCGCAAUGGGCGAAAGCCUGACGGAGCAACGCCGCGUGAGUGAUGAAGGUCUUCGGAUCGUAAAACUCUGUUAUUAGGGAAGAACAUCUUUGUAAGUAUCCGUGCACAUCUUGACGGUACCUAAUCAGAAAGCCCCGGCUAACUACGUG